GCGUCUGUGGCCAAGCGGCUAAGGCGGCUCCCUGCAGAGGAGCAGAUCGGGGGUUCAAGUCCCUCCAGGCGCU
Molecule: transfer RNA, 73 nt
Filed under: Nanobdellota archaeon
Lineage: Archaea; Nanobdellati; Nanobdellota
Description: tRNA-Cys
Rfam family: tRNA
About the family: Transfer RNA (tRNA) molecules are approximately 80 nucleotides in length. Their secondary structure includes four short double-helical elements and three loops (D, anti-codon, and T loops).
Source: RNAcentral